AUGGCGAUGGAAGGGGAGGUGAUUCGGGAUGGGGUGCGUAUGGCCCUGGAAAGAGGCUUCCGUAGAGUUGUCGUCGAGAGCGACGCUCAAGCAAUCAUAAAGUUGUGGGAGAUAGGAGAUUUUGAUCGUGCUGAGAUUGCUGGUGUUCUUCAUGAGAUCAAAGAGCUGAGUGCACACUUUGAGAGUUUUAGGCUAAUAUUCGUACGAAGAGGCGCUAAUGAGGCGGCUCACUUAUGUGCGAAGCAGGCGACAGGUGUUAGGAGGAGAUGCUUAUGGCUUAAUUGCAUUCCAGUAUUCCUAACGAACACGUUGUAUCGUGAUUGUAUGCCUGUUAGUUAG
Molecule: ribosomal RNA, 339 nt
Filed under: Triticum aestivum (bread wheat)
Lineage: Eukaryota; Viridiplantae; Streptophyta; Magnoliopsida; Poales; Poaceae
Description: partial small subunit ribosomal RNA
Source: RNAcentral